UUUUGACCUCAAAUCAGGUAGGAGGACCCGCUGAAUUUAAGCAUAUUAAUAAGCGGAGGAAAAGAAACUAACAAGGAUUCCCCUAGUAACGGC
Molecule: ribosomal RNA, 93 nt
Filed under: Spiromyces aspiralis
Lineage: Eukaryota; Fungi; Kickxellomycota; Kickxellomycetes; Kickxellales; Kickxellaceae
Description: partial 28S ribosomal RNA
Rfam family: Eukaryotic large subunit ribosomal RNA
Source: RNAcentral